UUGACCUAGUGAGAAUUGGUGUUGUUGUCGUGGCAAUGGAAAUGAGGAAGAAUUUUAUAGGUCAGAUCGUGAUCGAGCACAUUGAGAAAACUCCAGAAGGCUAUAACAAAAAUGGUUGAAGAUGGGGUCAAAACUAAGGGUACAUUUGCUUUGAAUCAGUUGCCAUCUAUCAGAGAAAAGGCCAUUCUACUGGUUAAACUGAUGGUACAUAUAGAGAAAAGAUUCAGUGAUGAUCAGGAACUAAAUGCACAAAUUCUAAAACUUGUCAUCUACAUCUACAGGGACGAAGGCCCAAGUGGGACAGAGUUGACAACAAAAUUAGAACAGGCUUUCCUGGCCGGUCUCAGAUGAUGGCAACCAGUCAUCCGAGGGAAAUUUGUAGAGAUGAAAGGAGAUUGAGAUAGGGGAUUGGGUAUCAGCAUUACAAGACAUGUGUAUGAUCCAGAGCUCGACCUCAGCUGCUUUGCCAUUUUACUCCCCACUAGAACCUUCAAGACAGAAUCCAAUAGCAGGUGAAUCCAGGAUCUCCAAAGUCGCUUAAUGUGGUUGUAUACAUGAUGUUACAGGGACUGGGUGAGCAGUUGUGAAGUUGUGGUGUAGAUGUGUUCAUUACUGAGCCUUAUGCUGACCAUGAUAGAGCUGUACAGGAAGCAAACUCUGGAGUGAUCCAAAUAAGUUUCAGACUUCCAUUACAAUGGAGCUUGCGUCAGGUUGGAUACAAAUGUAUUACAAUGUAAUGUGUAAAACAGCAGGAGACCAGGUUGUGGAAGUCCGCAACCAUUUCAACAUCACAGUACAACAACAAGAUAUUUAUAGCAGGUGCUAGAUGGAGAUGUAGAUAUUAACCUGCUGCUUCCCUCUCAGGAUACGGAGUUGCUAUCUCAGCAGAAAGUUUACAUGAUCUUUAGUCAAUCCACUGCAAAUUCUGGCCAGCCUUACAUGAAAAUGUCCAACUACUGGAACUUGUGACUAAUUUACCAAAUAAAUCAAAGGUGGAAUCAGAGUUUACUGAAUAUUGAAUAGACUGGUUUUCUGUCGCCAUGCUGGGAAAUGGUGCUGCAGUACAAUCCGAAACUGUGCCACAGUCUAUUUACAGUAUAAGGGAAAAAACCUGGUCCAGAUAACAUAUUGCCAGAAUUCUUUAUUUAUGGUAUUGAGAGUAUUAUUCAUAUUUUAGUAAAAUUGUUUAAUAGGCUUUUAGUACUGGGGAAUAUCCUGAAAGUUGGUGUGAAUCUAUUAUAAUUACACUACAGAAGAAGGGAGACGUAAAUAAUGUAGAGAACUAUAGAGGCAUCUCGUUACAGAAUGUUUUGUGUAAAAUAUAUUGUGGAAUUCUUGUCUCGAGGUUAAAUUUUUAUGUACAAAUGUAUCAUAAGAUUUCGGAAAAUCAAGCCGGAUUUAAAACAGGUUAUUCAACUGUUGAUAAUGCCUUUAUUUUAAAGUCUGUUAUAGAUCGCAUUUUAAAAAAAAAAGAGACAGAAACUGUAUGUUGCUUUUGUGGAUUUUCAAAAAUGUUUUGACACUAUAAAUAGGCAGAUUCUAUGGAAUAUUUUAAAGGAAAAUGGUAUAAAAGGUAAUUUGUUUAAAAGUUUUCAAAGUAUGUAUCAUAAUGUUAAGGCAUGCGUUAGAUGUAAUGGUUCAAGAAGUGAAUAUAUACAAAGUACGAUCGGCUUAAAACAGGGCUGUUUAGCCAGUCCUAUCUUGUUUUGUUUCUUUAUAGAUGAACUAGAACGAUGUCUUUCAAAUAAUAACGUAGGUGGUAUACAAUUGCACCCAGAUACUAUUAAGUUAUUUCUUUUAAUGUUCGCAGAUGAUGUUGCAUUAUUAGCAGACACAGUGUAUGGCCUUCAAAGGCAACUGAAUAUUUUGUCAGAUUUUUGUGAUACAUUUAAAUUAAAAGUAAAUGAAGGCAAAACUAAAAUUGUAGUCUUUAAAAAUGGCGGCGUACUUGCGAGGAAUGAAAAAUGGAAAUAUAAAGAUACUGAGAUUGAAGUUGUAAAUAAAUUUGGUUAUGUUGGAUUGACAUUUACUAGACAGUUAUCUAUGAAUUGUAUGGUUCAUGACCUAUGUGUU
Long non-coding RNA from Mercenaria mercenaria, 2073 nucleotides. RefSeq lists it as uncharacterized. The transcript has 7 exons. Lineage: Eukaryota; Metazoa; Mollusca; Bivalvia; Venerida; Veneridae. The record is from RefSeq and is a predicted model, not a curated record.